Molecule: transfer RNA, 92 nt
Filed under: Roseateles asaccharophilus
Lineage: Bacteria; Pseudomonadati; Pseudomonadota; Betaproteobacteria; Burkholderiales; Sphaerotilaceae
Description: tRNA-Arg
Source: RNAcentral
GGAGAAAUGGCCAACGCACUACAGCGUCGCUCUCCCAGUACCCUGCCCUCCGAAGGCAGGGGUUGUUGGUUCGAUCCCAACCGGGCGCGCCA